AAAAAAUGUGUAUGAUUGAUUCUGGCAGCACUGUUCAUGUUUACGUAACUUCAUUUGACAGACACGAGCUGAGCGGAAUUAAAACAAUUGGAUAAAAAUGAACCACGUACAGAAAGUGAGAGUUUUGUACAAAACUAUUCUUCGUAUGCACCGUGGACUGCCGGUGGCGUUGCAGGAGCUCGGUAAUAACUACGUGAAAGAAGAGUUUAAACGCCACAAAAAUUGUUCUCCUAUGGAAAGCCAGAAAUUUAUGAGCGAAUGGGCAGGAUAUGCGAUAAAUCUUGCUGAGCAACUGGGUUUGCGAGGGAAACCCGGACCGAUUGGAAUGAUAGGAGAAGAUUUGACUGAAAAUCAAUUAAACCAUUUUCGAGAUGAACAGAUAGCUCAGCUGUAUGAGCUACUGCAGGAAGCCAAACGAUAAUAGAUGAUAAAGGACCGUAAGUUUUGCUUCGACCUAUGAUAUCCAACCUAUUGCUGUUUGUUCUCAUAUAUCUUGUAUACAUACUGUAUUCCGUUUUCUUCUUGCACACCACUUGGAGUGUCUGGAUCAUUAUCAAUCACCAUAAAAGAAUUGGGUAUUUCUGGGAAGAAUGCAUCACAAUCGAAUUGCUUUUUGAUUUCCGUCAAAUAGAUUCGAUGACAACGAUCGGAUUCCAUGGCUUCCUUAUAUACGCUGUUACCUCCGACAACCCAAAUGUUCUCUAUGUGUUCCCCAUGGUCAGUUGAAUCCAGCUUGUGCAAUGCUUCCUGCAGGCUGCCACAAACCAACACAUCCGGCGGAAAAGUAUAGGCAGCCGCAUUUCGCGUCAACACAAUAUUUAGACGCUCCGGCAAUGGACGUUUGCUUUCUGGGACCCCGAAGUAAAUCUCAAUCCGACAUCAACACCAGGAUGGACAAGCAACUAAAAAACCUCGACAGUUGAAAUCAACCAUGUACAGGCAGUCCCCGAGAUACACUAUUAACCGUAUUGUCUACGACCAAAAAAAUACAUGGCCCGCAAAACAAAUUCGAGCAGUCUGCGAGGUCGCACUACAAAACACCACAGAUUUAGUUUUUGAUAGAUAAAAUAGGAUGCGGAGUCCGACGAAUCGCACGUCUGAUUUUAUCUGUGAAA
RNA transcript from Anopheles arabiensis, 1115 nucleotides. It is a transcript of the gene named succinate dehydrogenase assembly factor 3, mitochondrial, with no coding region annotated. The transcript has 4 exons. The record is from RefSeq and is a predicted model, not a curated record. NCBI's taxonomy places the organism in Eukaryota, Metazoa, Arthropoda, Insecta, Diptera, Culicidae.